AUGGAGGCGAGCGGCACGGCUGAGGCUCGCCGGCCACCGCACGUGGCGAUGCUGGUGACGCCCGGGAUGGGCCACCUGAUCCCGCUCGCGGAGCUUGCCAAGCGCCUGGCCGCGCGGCACGGCGUCACGGCCACGCUCAUCACCUUCGCCUCCACUGCGUCCGCCACGCAGCGGUCCUUCCUCGCCUCCCUCCCGGCCGCCAUCUCCUCCGUGUCCCUUCCGCCCGUCGACCUCUCCGACCUGCCACCCGGCGCCACCAUCGAGACUCUCAUGUCCGAGGAGUGCGCCCGCUUGGUGCCGGCGCUUACCGGGGUUCUGUCGGGGCUCAGGGAGACGACGCGGAUGGUGGCCUACGUGGCCGACCUCUUCGGGGCGGACUCGUUCGACGCUGCCGUGGCCGCCGGCGUGCCCAGAAGGUACCUUUUCCAUCCGGGGAACCUGCAUGGGCUAACGUUCAUCCUCCACCUCCCGGAGAUCGAUGUUUCCAUGCCCGGUGAGUUCCGGGACCUCGCCGAGCCCGUCAGGCUGCCCGGCUGCGUCCCCAUCCCGGGGCCGGACGUCAUGUCGCCGUUACAGGACAAGUCUGACCCCUGCUACCGGUGGAUGGUGCACCACGCCAAGCGCUACCUAGAAUCCGAGGCCAUCCUGGUGAACUCCUUCGACGCCGUCGAGCCGGACGCCGCCAGGGUGCUCUCUCACCCGGAGCCCGGGCGCCCUCCGGUGUACAACAUCGGUCCGCUCAUACGGGCCGACACCGGCGAGGAGCCGCGCGCUGCGUGCCUGGACUGGCUCGACCGGCAACCGCCCAAGUCCGUCAUCUUCGUCUCCUUUGGCUCCGGAGGCUCGCUGCCGACGGAGGAGAUGCACGAGCUGGCGCUCGGGCUGGAGCUGAGCGGGCAGCGCUUCCUGUGGGUAGUGCAGAGCCCGAGCAACUAUGUACUGCUAGUGCCAAUCACAUUUAUUAUUUCUCGCAUAUUGACAGUUGACAGGGAUAGGACCUCGCAGCUUGCACUAGUGGCCUUUGCUGCUAUUUUUGACGGAAAUUAG
This 1047-nucleotide ribosomal RNA is filed under the name Triticum aestivum (bread wheat). RNAcentral describes it as "partial small subunit ribosomal RNA". The record is from RNAcentral. Lineage: Eukaryota; Viridiplantae; Streptophyta; Magnoliopsida; Poales; Poaceae.